This is a long non-coding RNA of Hemicordylus capensis (graceful crag lizard), 720 nucleotides long. RefSeq lists it as uncharacterized. NCBI's taxonomy places the organism in Eukaryota, Metazoa, Chordata, Lepidosauria, Squamata, Cordylidae. The record is from RefSeq and is a predicted model, not a curated record. The transcript is spliced from 2 exons.
AUAUAGGUGGUUGCCUUCAGCAGAGUUUCAGUAUUGAAAAAGAAGUUCAGAGAGUACAAGUUGAAGUUACAUGUUAGAGAGCUGGAAGAGUUCAGAGGAAGAAAGAGAUACAGUUUUGAGUGUAAGCUGAGAGUCCAGAAGAAAGCUGGAAAAGGAGUUCAAGAAGUACAGAACUGAAGAAUUGCUGGCAUAGUCUGAGAGAGGAUUAGAACUGGGGCUAAGAAGAGCUGAGAAAUCACUGGCAGAGAGUGGAAAUUCUGGAGAGCUAAAAAUACUCACAAACAAGAAACAACAGUCCGGGCUGAACUUCAGAACUGGGAAAAAGAACGACAUGAGGCUGAACAAGGGAAAAGCUGGGGUUGCUAAAAAAAGCUGGAGUGAUUGCAAAGGACUCUAAGUAAGAGCACAGUGAGAGUCAGAUUCCUUCAUCUUUUGCAUCAAGUGAAAUAAACUGAUUAUAUAUUUGAAAAUAAACACACAGCAUCAAGCAACGAACUAAAAUAUGAAGAGGACUAGUACCUUGUUUCAGCUGAUGCAAGCCUUCCACUUUCUGAAGACCAUGAAGCAAAAAGUGAAAGUUAAGAACCAUGACUGUUUAAGCCACCGAUUUGGAUUACAGAAGUCAACUGAACCUGUGCUAACAUUUUCAAAGCUAUGAUUGUCUGGUGCGAAGUAAGAUCUAAGCAGCAUAAAAAAUAAAUAUGAAUUGAGUUCAAGAUA